This 856-nucleotide ribosomal RNA is filed under the name uncultured bacterium. RNAcentral's name for it is "bacterial SSU rRNA". It matches the Rfam family "Bacterial small subunit ribosomal RNA", at positions 643 to 1501 of the family's 1533-position model. The record is from RNAcentral.
AGAGUAUGGGAGAGGUAGAUGGAAUUUCUGGUGUAGGGGUAAAAUCCGUAGAGAUCAGAAGGAAUACCGAUUGCGAAGGCGAUCUACUGGAACAUUACUGACGCUGAGAUGCGAAAGCGUGGGGAGCAAACAGGAUUAGAUACCCUAGUAGUCCACGCCCUAAACGAUGCACACUAGUUGUUGCUAUGCUAGACAUAGCAGUAAUGCAGUUAACACAGUAAGUGUGCCGCCUGGGGAGUACGGUCGCAAGAUUAAAACUCAAAGGAAUAGACGGGGACCCGCACAAGCGGUGGAGCAUGUGGUUUAAUUCGACGAUACGCGAAGAACCUUACCUGGCCUUGACAUAGUAAGAAUCUAAUAGAGAUAUAAGAGUGCUAGUUUACUAGAGCUUACAUACAGGUGCUGCACGGCUGUCGUCAGCUCGUGUCGUGAGAUGUUGGGUUAAGUCCCGCAACGAGCGCAACCCUCGUGUUUAGUUACUAACAGUUCGGCUGAGGACUCUAGACAGACUGCCUGGGUAACCAGGAGGAAGGUGAGGACGACGUCAAGUCAUCAUGGCCCUUACGGCCAGGGCUACACACGUGCUACAAUGGGGUAUACAAGGAGCCGCGAUACCGUGAGGUGGAGCAAAUCUCAUAAAAUAUCUCCCAGUUCGGAUUGAAGUCUGCAACUCGACUUCAUGAAGUUGGAAUCGCUAGUAAUCGUAGAUCAGCAAUGCUACGGUGAAUACGUUCCCGGGUCUUGUACUCACCGCCCGUCACACCAUGGGAGUUGAUUUCAUUCGAAGCGGGGAUGCUAAAAUAGCUACCUUCCACAGUGGAAUUAGCGACUAGGGUGAAGUCGUAACAAGGUAACC